RNAcentral lists this ribosomal RNA (461 nucleotides) under uncultured bacterium. RNAcentral's name for it is "partial 16S ribosomal RNA". It matches the Rfam family "Bacterial small subunit ribosomal RNA", at positions 29 to 523 of the family's 1533-position model. The record is from RNAcentral.
AACGAACGCUGGCGGCAUGCCUAACACAUGCAAGUCGAACGUGAUCCGUGCCUUCGGGUGCGGUGAAAGUGGCGCACGGGUGAGUAACGCGUGGGAACCUGCCCAAUGGUAGGGAAUAACCGCGGGAAACUGCGGCUAAUACCCUAUGAGCCCUACGGGGGAAAGAUUUAUCGCCGUUGGAGGGGCCCGCGUCGGAUUAGGUAGUUGGUGGGGUAAUGGCUCACCAAGCCUUCGAUCCGUAGCUGGUCGGAGAGGAUGAUCAGCCACACGGGGACUGGGACACGGCCCAGACUCCUACGGGAGGCAGCAGUGGGGAAGAUGGGACAAUGGGGGCAACCCUGAUCCAGCAAUGCCGCGUGAGUGAAGAAGGCCUUAGGGUUGUAGAGCUCUUUCGGCGGGGACGAUGAUGACGGUACCCGCAGAAGAAGCCCCGGCUAACUCCGUGCCAGCAACCGCCGUAA